AGUUGAUUUGGGAACCAGAGAACAGCAGCCUAAGUUUGACUGUAAUUUUGGCAGCUACAGAUUCCCAAGACAACUAGGAAGGGAAAAGGAACCCUUCAAGGAAGUUCCAGGAAAAACGUCUCUCCCAAAAAGACCACUGCUUCAGGAAAACCUGAGGAAGGGAGUGGGCCAACAGUAUCCUGCCAUUGUGACCAGCUGAACGAGGAACUCCAUCAAAAUGAGCCAUAGCUGGACCAAAACAGUGAGGAGACCUCCACCUUCUUCAGUGUCUCCCUGAGCAGUCAGUAAUUUCAGGGCAAGCUGAGAGGUCUCCAGAGGUCUAGCCCCAGAUAAAUAGCCAACAGGGUCUAGAGUACAUUUUAUACCCCACAGGGUAUACCCCAUGGUGAUCAAAAUAAAAUAAACCUGUUGUAAAAUGA
This is a long non-coding RNA of Symphalangus syndactylus (siamang), 419 nucleotides long. RefSeq lists it as uncharacterized. The record is from RefSeq and is a predicted model, not a curated record. NCBI's taxonomy places the organism in Eukaryota, Metazoa, Chordata, Mammalia, Primates, Hylobatidae.